RNAcentral lists this ribosomal RNA (402 nucleotides) under uncultured Hyphomicrobiales bacterium. RNAcentral describes it as "bacterial SSU rRNA". It matches the Rfam family "Bacterial small subunit ribosomal RNA", at positions 355 to 774 of the family's 1533-position model. The record is from RNAcentral. Lineage: Bacteria; Pseudomonadati; Pseudomonadota; Alphaproteobacteria; Hyphomicrobiales.
UGGGGAAUAUUGGACAAUGGGCGCAAGCCUGAUCCAGCCAUGCCGCGUGAGUGAUGAAGGCCUUAGGGUUGUAAAGCUCUUUUGUCCGGGAAGAUAAUGACUGUACCGGAAGAAUAAGCCCCGGCUAACUUCGUGCCAGCAGCCGCGGUAAUACGAAGGGGGCUAGCGUUGCUCGGAAUCACUGGGCGUAAAGGGCGCGUAGGCGGACUUUUAAGUCGGGGGUGAAAGCCCAGGGCUCAACCCUGGAAUUGCCUUCGAUACUGGGAGUCUUGAGUUCGGAAGAGGUUGGUGGAACUGCGAGUGUAGAGGUGAAAUUCGUAGAUAUUCGCAAGAACACCGGUGGCGAAGGCGGCCAACUGGUCCGAAACUGACGCUGAGGCGCGAAAGCGUGGGGAGCAAACA